This is a long non-coding RNA of Aquila chrysaetos chrysaetos, 614 nucleotides long. RefSeq lists it as uncharacterized. The transcript has 3 exons. The record is from RefSeq and is a predicted model, not a curated record. Lineage: Eukaryota; Metazoa; Chordata; Aves; Accipitriformes; Accipitridae.
UCAAUGUGAAAGUAAGUGAAUGUUUAAGUGGGCUUACAUUUCAGCAUGCAUGGAUCCUAAAAGUCAUCCCCAGUGCAAUGACCUUCCCUAAUAGUUGUAUAGCUAUACAGUUUGCUUAAUCUUUUAAGUGCAUUACAAUAAAUAGAUGCAUAUACUGCAGCCACAAGCACAGCAAGCAUCAACAGCAAAAAUACAUUUCUCACAGCUUUUCCUAAAGUACCAUUCACCUUUUUCCCUCAGACCCAAAGAAAGCACUCACCCAUCUCCACUAAUUCCCUCAAACACAGAAGCUGUCAACUGAGAGCCCUGGCUGCCAACUCUGUUAAAAGUUUUCUGGUGCCCCAGUUGCAAUGGGUGAUAGCCCUCCACAGGCUUCCAAGUGAAAUGUGAUCAUUUCUUGCCCAUCCUUGUGUUCUCAGCACCAUCCAAUUAACAGUGGACCCCGACCAGCAAGGAUAUCCAGCAGUGAAUAUUAUUGCUAACCCAACUGAGCACCUGCUGAUGUGGAUGCCGAAUGCAGUUGACAGAGACCCAUUUUAUUUUCCACCAUACUUCAGUCUUCUGGGCUUGUUCAGACACAGCCCAUGGAGGUCCACACUGGAACAGCUAUCCAC